UCCGGUGGUAAUGGCGGAGGGGCAACACCUGUUCUCAUCCCGAACACAGAAGUUAAGCCCUCCAGCGCUGAUGGUACUGCACUGGUAACGGUGUGGGAGAGUAAGUCACUGCCGGAA
This 117-nucleotide ribosomal RNA is filed under the name Bacillota bacterium. The record is from RNAcentral. Lineage: Bacteria; Bacillati; Bacillota.